UGGGGAAUAUUGCACAAUGGGCGAAAGCCUGAUGCAGCAACGCCGCGUGCGGGAUGACGGCCUUCGGGUUGUAAACCGCUUUCAGCAGGGACGAAGGUUUUCUGACGGUACCUGCAGAAGAAGCACCGGCUAACUACGUGCCAGCAGCCGCGGUGAUACGUAGGGUGCGAGCGUUGUCCGGAAUUAUUGGGCGUAAAGAGCUUGUAGGCGGUCCGUUGCGUCGGAAGUGAAAACUCAGGGCUUAACCCUGAGCCUGCUUUCGAUACGGGCGGGACUUGAGGGAUGUAGGGGAGAACGGAAUUCCUGGUGGAGUGGUGGAAUGCGCAGAUAUCAGGAGGAACACCAGUGGCGAAGGCGGUUCUCUGGACAUUUCCUGACGCUGAGAAGCGAAAGCGUGGGGAGCAAACAGGCUUAGAUACCCUGGUAGUCCACGCCGUAAACGGUGGGCACUAGGUGUGGGACCCAUUCCACGGGUUCCGUGCCGUAGCUAACGCAUUAAGUGCCCCGCCUGGGGAGUACGGCCGCAA
This 527-nucleotide ribosomal RNA is filed under the name uncultured bacterium. Its description in RNAcentral is "partial 16S ribosomal RNA". It matches the Rfam family "Bacterial small subunit ribosomal RNA", at positions 355 to 891 of the family's 1533-position model. The record is from RNAcentral.